This 254-nucleotide long non-coding RNA is filed under the name Elaeis guineensis (African oil palm). Its description in RNAcentral is "long non-coding RNA (EGUI_LNC004902)". Lineage: Eukaryota; Viridiplantae; Streptophyta; Magnoliopsida; Arecales; Arecaceae. The record is from RNAcentral.
GGGUGGUCAGCUCAACUGGCAGUCUGGAUGCUAAGAUAAUUCAGGAUCUUCCUAACCAAAGACCAGAUGUAGGUGACUCGAUCAAAGAAUCAUGAAGCAUGAAGUGAAAUCAAGGUCAAGAUCAAUCAAUAGGUUCAUCAAUAGUAGGUUUUAAGGGUAUUUGAUAUGAUCAGGUGUGAUUUGACAUCCAACAUAAAUAUCAAAGCAAUUUCAGACUUUUUUGAGAACAUCAUUUUAUGUUCGUACAUGGGCCA